RNAcentral lists this transfer RNA (74 nucleotides) under Candidatus Woesearchaeota archaeon. Its description in RNAcentral is "tRNA-His". It matches the Rfam family "tRNA". From Rfam's summary of the family: Transfer RNA (tRNA) molecules are approximately 80 nucleotides in length. Their secondary structure includes four short double-helical elements and three loops (D, anti-codon, and T loops). Further hydrogen bonds mediate the characteristic L-shaped molecular structure. tRNAs have two regions of fundamental functional importance: the anti-codon, which is responsible for specific mRNA codon recognition, and the 3' end, to which the tRNAs corresponding amino acid is attached (by aminoacyl-tRNA synthetases). tRNAs cope with the degeneracy of the genetic code in two manners: having more than one tRNA (with a specific anti-codon) for a particular amino acid; and 'wobble' base-pairing, i.e. permitting non-standard base-pairing at the 3rd anti-codon position. Lineage: Archaea; Nanobdellati; Candidatus Woesearchaeota. The record is from RNAcentral.
GCGGUUGUGGUGUAGCCUGGCUAGCACAUGAGACUGUGGAUCUCAUAGCCCGAGUUCAAAUCUCGGCAACCGCC